Molecule: ribosomal RNA, 186 nt
Filed under: [Chrysosporium] chiropterorum
Lineage: Eukaryota; Fungi; Ascomycota; Eurotiomycetes; Onygenales; Onygenaceae
Description: Chrysosporium chiropterorum 5.8S ribosomal RNA
Rfam family: 5.8S ribosomal RNA (bases 12-165)
About the family: 5.8S ribosomal RNA (5.8S rRNA) is a component of the large subunit of the eukaryotic ribosome. It is transcribed by RNA polymerase I as part of the 45S precursor that also contains 18S and 28S rRNA. Functionally, it is thought that 5.8S rRNA may be involved in ribosome translocation.
Source: RNAcentral
CCAAUCAUUAAAACUUUCAACAACGGAUCUCUUGGUUCCCACAUCGAUGAAGAACGCAGCGAAAUGCGAUAAGUAAUGUGAAUUGCAGAAUUCCGUGAACCAUCGAAUCUUUGAACGCACAUUGCGCCCCCUGGUAUUCCGGGGGGCAUGCCUGUCCGAGCGUCAUUGCAACCCUCAAGCGCGGCU